Molecule: ribosomal RNA, 395 nt
Filed under: uncultured bacterium
Lineage: Bacteria
Description: partial 16S ribosomal RNA
Rfam family: Bacterial small subunit ribosomal RNA
Source: RNAcentral
CUACGUAGGGUGCGAGCGUUAAUCGGAAUUACUGGGCGUAAAGCGUGCGCAGGCGGUUCUAUAAGACAGAUGUGAAAUCCCCGGGCUCAACCUGGGAAUGGCAUUUGUGACUGUAGAGCUAGAGUACGGUAGAGGGGGAUGGAAUUCCGCGUGUAGCAGUGAAAUGCGUAGAUAUGCGGAGGAACACCGAUGGCGAAGGCAAUCCCCUGGACCUGUACUGACGCUCAUGCACGAAAGCGUGGGGAGCAAACAGGAUUAGAUACCCUGGUAGUCCACGCCCUAAACGAUGUCAACUGGUUGUUGGGUGCAUUAGUACUCAGUAACGAAGCUAACGCGUGAAGUUGACCGCCUGGGGAGUACGGCCGCAAGGUUGAAACUCAAAUGAAUUGACGGGG